AUGGACGAGAAGUUAAUUGAACUUGUAAGAAAUCAUGAAGUGCUAUACAAUCACUCAUCAGCCACUCAGCAGAGUACAGGGACCAGACGAUUCGGCAAGAAGCUUGGGAAGAAAUUGGUAGACACUAACAAAUAACAGCGGACAACGCCAAGACAAAAUGGGACAAACUUAGACGAUGUUUGUAUAAUGCAAGAAAUAGACGCCUGUCUACACAAAGUGGCCAGGCUACCAAAAAAAUUACGCCAUGGAAAUUUGCACAGCAAAUGACAUUUUUGCUGCCGUAUUUAGAAGGUCGAAGGACGCGCGGCAAUUUGCCGAAGUCUCAAAAUGAACAUAAAAUUUGCGUUCCCGACGAAAGAGAAAUUAACGACGAUGACGUUGACGCAGACGAACAGCAAAUACAAGAACGCAGUACAGACGCUGAAAAUAUAGCUGAUGAAGGGGACCAAGAACAUAUUGCAGUUAUACAACAACAAACACCUUCGCAAGACGAUAUAUUACUCGCCGAAAAUACUAAAACAUUAUUCAAUUAAAGUAAUUGCAAAAUUACCAAAUUCGGUUCAGGUAAAACCAAACGGGCACCAGUAAAUAAAUAAAUUCAAGAUUCGCUUAUUAAAGUUUUUUGAAACUUUGCACGAGGGUUUGCUAGAUUGGUCUCUUAGCCAAUAAUUGACCCACUUAAAAUUUACAUGGGAUUUCCUAUGUUUCGCUCGGCGACGCACCACCCGGUAUAUAAAAAUAUCUUUUAUAAGCAGUUUUAAUAACAUCUCCAAAAGUGAACAUUUUCAUUUUCGCCCUGUAUUUUAGGAAGAAAAGUAGUUGGAAUAUUUCUGUUUGUGGCUUUGAAAGUUAAAAAAAAGUGAUACAGGAUCGCGAAAACCGCAAAGUUAUAUCUUAAAAAAUGACCCCGAGAGAGAUACCCUGCAAUCUCAUCCAAAAUGGGACACAGUGUACUGCAUUUUAGAUUUUUUACAUUAUUUUUUAUUUUUUUAGGAUACACGUAAUUAGUAGUAAUAGAUUAGGUUUAAUUUACAUUUA
This is a long non-coding RNA of Anthonomus grandis grandis, 1038 nucleotides long. RefSeq lists it as uncharacterized. The transcript is spliced from 3 exons. The record is from RefSeq and is a predicted model, not a curated record. Lineage: Eukaryota; Metazoa; Arthropoda; Insecta; Coleoptera; Curculionidae.